AGACGGAGGGUGCUAGCGUUGUUCGGAAUCAUUGGGCGUAAAGGGCGUGUAGGCGGAUCGUUAAGUCAUGCGUGAAAGCCCUCGGCUUAACCGAGGAAGGGCGUAUGAUACUGGCGACCUAGAGUUCGGAAGAGGGGGGUGGAAUUCCAGGUGUAGCGGUGAAAUGCGUAGAUAUCUGGAGGAACACCGGUGGCGAAGGCGACCCCCUGGUCCGACACUGACGCUGAGACGCGAAAGCGUGGGGAGCAAACAGAAUUAGAUACCCCGGUAGUCC
This 274-nucleotide ribosomal RNA is filed under the name uncultured bacterium. RNAcentral describes it as "partial 16S ribosomal RNA". It matches the Rfam family "Bacterial small subunit ribosomal RNA", at positions 523 to 796 of the family's 1533-position model. The record is from RNAcentral.